UUUCUUCAAAGUGAUUUGCCUGGUAAUACUACAAAUGGUGCAUGCUGAUGUUAUAACCCUUUUUUGCUGCUUGAAUUCAAAAUAUAAAAAAUAAAAGAAACCAAAAAGUUAAAUUUGCUAUUAAAAUUGUUGAACAUGGUAUCAAAUGUCAAUAAACCUUGCUAAAAUAAACAAUGCAAACAGAAAAUACUCAAAAUACCCUCAAAGAUAUAAUCAAAAGCAAUCAAGAUGAUUAAAGCUGUACUCACUGGAAGUGCUUUCUCCCAACCAGCCGGUAGUUCACCAGUGAUGACAGAUUUCAAUUCUGCAGCUUCCUCCUUGUACUUCUUCUCAUACUCGGCAAACUUUUUAUUCCAUUCAGCUUCAAGCGCAGCACCCACUGGAAUAUGGCGACUCCAAUG
This 401-nucleotide unclassified non-coding RNA is filed under the name Hevea brasiliensis (rubber tree). The record is from RNAcentral. Lineage: Eukaryota; Viridiplantae; Streptophyta; Magnoliopsida; Malpighiales; Euphorbiaceae.